This 431-nucleotide ribosomal RNA is filed under the name uncultured bacterium. Its description in RNAcentral is "bacterial SSU rRNA". It matches the Rfam family "Bacterial small subunit ribosomal RNA", at positions 28 to 477 of the family's 1533-position model. The record is from RNAcentral.
GACGAACGCUGGCGGCGUGCUUAACACAUGCAAGUCGAACGGUAAGGCCCUUCGGGGUACGACGAGUGGCGAACGGGUGAGUAACACGUGGGUGAUCUGCCCUGCACUUCGGGAUAAGCCUGGGAAACUGGGUCUAAUACCGGAUAGGACCAUGGACUUCACGGUUUGUGGUGGAAAGCUUUUGCGGUGUGGGAUGGGCCCGCGGCCUAUCAGCUUGUUGGUGGGGUAAUGGCCUACCAAGGCGACGACGGGUAGCCGGCCUGAGAGGGUGUCCGGCCACACUGGGACUGAGAUACGGCCCAGACUCCUACGGGAGGCAGCAGUGGGGAAUAUUGCACAAUGGGCGCAAGCCUGAUGCAGCGACGCCGCGUGAGGGAUGACGGCCUUCGGUUGUAAACCUCUUUCAAUAGGACGAAGCGCAAGUGACGGUA